RNAcentral lists this ribosomal RNA (387 nucleotides) under uncultured bacterium. RNAcentral describes it as "bacterial SSU rRNA". It matches the Rfam family "Bacterial small subunit ribosomal RNA", at positions 28 to 416 of the family's 1533-position model. The record is from RNAcentral.
GACGAACGCUGGCGGCGUGCUUAACACAUGCAAGUCGAGCGGAAAGGCCCUUUCGGGGGUACUCGAGCGGCGAACGGGUGAGUAACACGUGAGUAAUCUGCCCUUGGCUUUGGGAUAACUACCGGAAACGGUGGCUAAUACCGGAUACGACGCACUCAGGCAUCUGAUGUGUGUGGAAAGUUUUUUCGGCCAGGGAUGUGCUCGCGGCCUAUCAGCUUGUUGGUGGGGUAAUGGCCUACCAAGGCUUCGACGGGUAGCCGGCCUGAGAGGGUGACCGGCCACACUGGGACUGAGACACGGCCCAGACUCCUACGGGAGGCAGCAGUGGGGAAUAUUGGACAAUGGGCGGAAGCCUGAUCCAGCAACGCCGCGUGAGGGAUGACGGCC